CGUUACUGCUGAGCCACAAUGAGAACUCCUCUAACUUAAAACUUAAACACAAGUUUUCAGGUCCGCUGGCACAGCUUAGCUUCACAUUUCACGUCAGAUGAAAAGUGGCCAGCCGGCUUUGCUCUAUGUGUCUCUCAGCCUUGUCUCAUGGUCAUGACAGAAGCAUGGUGGUGGCCCGACUAGUCAAAUGCAUAACCUGCAUCAAGUCUACUAACUCACUGACUACACGCCUAAACUCUAGAGACAGGAAGUGUAUUCAUCAUUUGUAGGAAGAAUUUCAAAGUUACAUUAAAAAGACAUGAAUACAGGAAGAAGGGAAGAAUUGAGACCAAAACUUAAUUUAUUAUCUCUCUUGCUAUUUACCAGAAAGUACUGCUGAACCCAAAUACGGAUGUUAGAGUAUGCCAAAUAAGAUCUUCAAGGACCCAAGAAGGAAAGUGUACAUGGCCAUGUAAGAAAGAACGUUUAAUUAUCAAGCUCUGGGGCCUAGGAAGUCCAAGAUCAGGAUGCCAGCAAAUUCAGUGUCUGGGCAAGCACAUCUGGUACUCAGAAGCAUUGCUGCAAUCUCACACAAAGAGGACUAGUUGAUGAAGCUUCUUGAAUAUCCCAAGUGCCAAUGAAAGCGACUUGGCUUCCUCUGAAUACUCUAUUUCAUGCCCCAAAUACUGUGGGAAAAGCUUGCAAUUUGGGAAAGAAGAGCAAGAAUAUUCCCAUGUGGACAUCUGGGAAAGGCAUCUUGCCUUUGCCCCUCUCAAGGCCAAAAUCUGUGUUGGACUUGAUAGAUACCUUCAACUAGAUAUGAGAACUGGAGAGCAGGGGAAUACUGUGUCCUAACUUCUAUCUGGAUUGUUAGGAGGGGGAAGUAAUGCAGAACACCCCAGUCAUCAUGGAGUAAGAAUGCAUACAGGGCAGUUCUAGGAAGAACUCCCAUCUCCCCCCCCCCCCAACCCCUGCUUUCCAUGGGCCCAGUGUGAAUGAGCAUCUGAAUAAUUUCCAUGUCCCAUGAAAAUGAUACAAAGGAAGGCUGAAGAAAUCCAGGUGGCAUGCCUUGGAGCUGGAAUGAGGAAUAAGUAGAAUGAGCUAUGUUGUCUUGGAAAUUGGAGAGUAAGGCAGUACCAUGGAUAGCAGCAGCAGAUGGCAGAGGGGCUGGAUGGAGAUCAUUUGAUUAUAGAUCUCGGUGCAGCCUAACUAGGGAAGAAAAUGGCCGUGGUUCGCUCUCAACUUUUCCUGUGGCCCUAAUCAUGUGUAAGUACUUUUGGAGAGAAAGACAUUUUCCUCUGCCCUUCUAAAUUUUUCUGACUGGUCUAAGAAUCAAAUUGGCAUGACUAAGGUUAAGCGUAGAAAAAUCAAACAAACGUUUAAUAAUAUGUAUCGCGAGAGAGAACCAGGAAAGCUAACUCCUCAAAUACCAUCUUCAACUAAAAAUAAAAGAGGAUGUUGGGGGUAGUCAUUUGGGACCUGAAAGGGAAGGAAGGCAGCUCGCAUGGAGACGGAAAAGCCCUGCAGAGACGAUGGACACAGAAUGAACCCUGAUCUCUAGCCCCUGCUGAGUUUCUCCCACUACAUCCACCCCAUAUUCUUUGCAGAUAUCUCUAUUCUAGGAAUAGCCCCUUUAGACCACUAAGGAAGUAAAAAGAAAGAC
Long non-coding RNA from Phacochoerus africanus (Common warthog), 1642 nucleotides. RefSeq lists it as uncharacterized. Lineage: Eukaryota; Metazoa; Chordata; Mammalia; Artiodactyla; Suidae. The transcript is spliced from 4 exons. The record is from RefSeq and is a predicted model, not a curated record.